Molecule: long non-coding RNA, 551 nt
Filed under: Coturnix japonica (Japanese quail)
Lineage: Eukaryota; Metazoa; Chordata; Aves; Galliformes; Phasianidae
Description: lncRNA (ENSCJPG00005003763.1)
Source: RNAcentral
CCUGCAGCACUGCGCAUCGGCCUGUAUUUACGUUUCUUCCGAGGAUGCUCUGAAGGCGUGUGUUUGGGUUUAAAUGAAAUCAGGUUUGGGACAGUCAUUCUGUGCUUUGCAAUAAAUGCAGUGCAAAAUCAUGUAAAUUACAUAAGGCCAACUACUUUUCCUGAAGACAAAGAAUACUGGGCCAUGUGUUUGCAGCCUGAGCUCCAUCCAUGCAGAGCUCAUCCCUGAGCCUGUCCUGUUGCUGCGGGCUCCCCAUCUGCAGAACAGCGCUGGCUUCUGGAUAUUGCAGCCAAGAACUGAGGAGAAGAGCAAGAGAGAGAUGCAGUGACAGUACAGGAGCAAAGCAGAGUCUGAAAAGCCAGUGGAGGAAGAGGUUGAUGUGGUACUUGUGUUAUGAAAAAAGUAUCCUGUCUUGUCACCCUUGGCACAUAUUUUGCUCCCCAGAGUGGAAUAGUGCUUCAUUAUACUCAGAUACAAGGCAAAGAACCACCUUGGUCAAACCCAAGAAGUCAAAACCACCUACACUGAUAGCAGCCGUGUAUGUAAUAUAA